CUCCUACGGGAGGCAGCAGUGGGGAAUAUUGCACAAUGGGCGCAAGCCUGAUGCAGCCAUGCCGCGUGUAUGAAGAAGGCCUUCGGGUUGUAAAGUACUUUCAGCGGGGAGGAAGGGAGUAAAGUUAAUACCUUUGCUCAUUGACGUACCCGCAGA
This 156-nucleotide ribosomal RNA is filed under the name uncultured bacterium. RNAcentral describes it as "partial 16S ribosomal RNA". It matches the Rfam family "Bacterial small subunit ribosomal RNA", at positions 336 to 485 of the family's 1533-position model. The record is from RNAcentral.